CGAGCGUCAUUACACCCCUCAAAUAUUACAUUUGGUGUUGGGCCUUGCCUUUGGGCAUGCCUAAAAAUCAGUGAUGGACGUUUAACCACAAACGCACUCCUGUGUUAUGCUGGUGAAGACGUUUGUCUCCAGGUUAAAGACCCCUCUUUAACAAUCUAAAUGUUGACCUCGGAUCAGGUAGGAAUACCCGCUGAACUUAA
RNAcentral lists this unclassified non-coding RNA (200 nucleotides) under soil metagenome. RNAcentral describes it as "partial contains internal transcribed spacer 2 and large subunit ribosomal RNA". The record is from RNAcentral.